GACGAACGCUGGCGGCGUGCCUAAUACAUGCAAGUAGAACGCACAGUUUAUACCGUAGCUUGCUACACCAUAGACUGUGAGUUGCGAACGGGUGAGUAACGCGUAGGUAACCUGCCUGGUAGCGGGGGAUAACUAUUGGAAACGAUAGCUAAUACCGCAUAAUAUUGAUUAUUGCAUGGUAAUUAAUUGAAAGGUGCAAUUGCACCACUACCAGAUGGACCUGCGUUGUAUUAGCUAGUAGGUGAGGUAACGGCUCACCUAGGCGACGAUACAUAGCCGACCUGAGAGGGUGAUCGGCCACACUGGGACUGAGACACGGCCCAGACUCCUACGGGAGGCAGCAGUAGGGAAUCUUCGGCAAUGGACGAAAGUCUGACCGAGCAACGCCGCGUGAGUGAAGAAGGUUUUCGGAUCGUAAAGCUCUGUUGUAAGAGAAGAACGGGUGUGAGAGUGGAAAGUUCACACUGUGACGGUAUCUUACCAGAAAGGGACGGCUAACUACGUG
This 505-nucleotide ribosomal RNA is filed under the name uncultured bacterium. RNAcentral describes it as "partial 16S ribosomal RNA". It matches the Rfam family "Bacterial small subunit ribosomal RNA", at positions 28 to 507 of the family's 1533-position model. The record is from RNAcentral.